This 433-nucleotide ribosomal RNA is filed under the name uncultured bacterium. RNAcentral describes it as "partial 16S ribosomal RNA". It matches the Rfam family "Bacterial small subunit ribosomal RNA", at positions 29 to 507 of the family's 1533-position model. The record is from RNAcentral.
AACGAACGCUGGCGGCAGGCCUAACACAUGCAAGUCGAGCGAGGACUUCGGUCCUAGCGGCGGACGGGUGAGUAACGCGUGGGAACGUGCCCUUUGCUUCGGAAUAGCCCUGGGAAACUGGGAGUAAUACCGGAUGAGCCCUUUGGGGGAAAGAUUUAUCGGCGAAGGGUCGGCACGCGUUGGUUUAGGUUGUUGGUGGGGUAAUGGCCUAUCAAGCAGACGAUCCAUAGCUGGGUUGAGAGGCUGAUCAGCCACGCUGAGACUGAGACGCGGCCCAGACUCCUACGGGAGGCAGCAGUGCGGAAUCUUAGACAACGGGGUAAACCCUGAUGGAGCCAUGCCGCUUGAGCGAUGAAGGUCUUAGGGUUGUAAAGCUCUUUCAGCUGGGAAGAUAAUGACGGUACCAGCAGAAGAAGCCCCGGCUAACUCCGUG